This 1372-nucleotide ribosomal RNA is filed under the name uncultured bacterium. RNAcentral describes it as "bacterial SSU rRNA". It matches the Rfam family "Bacterial small subunit ribosomal RNA", at positions 28 to 1381 of the family's 1533-position model. The record is from RNAcentral.
GAUGAACGCUGGCGGCGUGCCUAAUACAUGCAAGUCGAGCGAACGGACGAGAAGCUUGCUUCUCUGAUGUUAGCGGCGGACGGGUGAGUAACACGUGGAUAACCUACCUAUAAGACUGGGAUAACUUCGGGAAACCGGAGCUAAUACCGGAUAAUAUUUUGAACCGCAUGGUUCAAAAGUGAAAGACGGUCUUGCUGUCACUUAUAGAUGGAUCCGCGCUGCAUUAGCUAGUUGGUAAGGUAACGGCUUACCAAGGCAACGAUGCAUAGCCGACCUGAGAGGGUGAUCGGCCACACUGGAACUGAGACACGGUCCAGACUCCUACGGGAGGCAGCAGUAGGGAAUCUUCCGCAAUGGGCGAAAGCCUGACGGAGCAACGCCGCGUGAGUGAUGAAGGUCUUCGGAUCGUAAAACUCUGUUAUUAGGGAAGAACAUAUGUGUAAGUAACUGUGCACAUCUUGACGGUACCUAAUCAGAAAGCCACGGCUAACUACGUGCCAGCAGCCGCGGUAAUACGUAGGUGGCAAGCGUUAUCCGGAAUUAUUGGGCGUAAAGCGCGCGUAGGCGGUUUUUUAAGUCUGAUGUGAAAGCCCACGGCUCAACCGUGGAGGGUCAUUGGAAACUGGAAAACUUGAGUGCAGAAGAGGAAAGUGGAAUUCCAUGUGUAGCGGUGAAAUGCGCAGAGAUAUGGAGGAACACCAGUGGCGAAGGCGACUUUCUGGUCUGUAACUGACGCUGAUGUGCGAAAGCGUGGGGAUCAAACAGGAUUAGAUACCCUGGUAGUCCACGCCGUAAACGAUGAGUGCUAAGUGUUAGGGGGUUUCCGCCCCUUAGUGCUGCAGCUAACGCAUUAAGCACUCCGCCUGGGGAGUACGACCGCAAGGUUGAAACUCAAAGGAAUUGACGGGGACCCGCACAAGCGGUGGAGCAUGUGGUUUAAUUCGAAGCAACGCGAAGAACCUUACCAAAUCUUGACAUCCUUUGACAACUCUAGAGAUAGAGCCUUCCCCUUCGGGGGACAAAGUGACAGGUGGUGCAUGGUUGUCGUCAGCUCGUGUCGUGAGAUGUUGGGUUAAGUCCCGCAACGAGCGCAACCCUUAAGCUUAGUUGCCAUCAUUAAGUUGGGCACUCUAAGUUAACUGCCGGUGACAAACCGGAGGAAGGUGGGGAUGACGUCAAAUCAUCAUGCCCCUUAUGAUUUGGGCUACACACGUGCUACAAUGGACAAUACAAAGGGCAGCGAAACCGCGAGGUCAAGCAAAUCCCAUAAAGUUGUUCUCAGUUCGGAUUGUAGUCUGCAACUCGACUACAUGAAGCUGGAAUCGCUAGUAAUCGUAGAUCAGCAUGCUACGGUGAAUACGUUCCCGGGUCU